Non-coding RNA from Beta vulgaris subsp. vulgaris (sugar beet), 117 nucleotides. NCBI's taxonomy places the organism in Eukaryota, Viridiplantae, Streptophyta, Magnoliopsida, Caryophyllales, Amaranthaceae. The record is from Rfam.
GAGAGCCGUGUUAUGGGUGACCUUAUUGCACGGUUCAGAGAGCAGUGGCUUGUUGCACAGAUGCCCCAGGCUUACAGAUCGGCCUCUCGAUCUUCUGGUGAGCCUUAUUACUCUAAC